Molecule: ribosomal RNA, 293 nt
Filed under: uncultured bacterium
Lineage: Bacteria
Description: partial 16S ribosomal RNA
Rfam family: Archaeal small subunit ribosomal RNA
Source: RNAcentral
GUGCCAACCGCCGCGGUAAUACCGGCAGCCCGAGUGAUGACCGAUCUUAUUGGGCCUAAAGCGUCCGUAGCUGGCUACGCAAGUCCGUCGGGAAAUCCACUCGCUCAACGGGCGGCCGUCCGGCGGAACCUGUGUGGCUUGGGACCGGGAGGCCUGAGGGGUACGAUCGGGGUAGGAGUGAAAUCCUGUAAUCCCGCUCGGACCGCCGAUGGGGAAACCACCUCAGGAGAACGGAUCCGACAGUGAGGGACGAAAGCCAGGGUCUCGAACCGGAUUAGAUACCCGAGUAGUUC